This 520-nucleotide ribosomal RNA is filed under the name uncultured Glomus. RNAcentral's name for it is "SSU rRNA". It matches the Rfam family "Eukaryotic small subunit ribosomal RNA", at positions 569 to 1088 of the family's 1831-position model. The record is from RNAcentral. Lineage: Eukaryota; Fungi; Glomeromycota; Glomeromycetes; Glomerales; Glomeraceae.
AGCAGCCGCGGUAAUUCCAGCUCCAAUAGCGUAUAUUAAAGUUGUUGCAGUUAAAAAGCUCGUAGUUGAAUUUCGAGAUCAAAUUGUUGGUCGUGCCUUGGUACGCACUGGCAUUAUUGGUUUCUCCCUUCUGAAGAACCAUGAUGUCAUUAAUUUGGUGUCUUGGGGAAUCAGGACUGUUACUUUGAAAAAAUUAGAGUGUUUAAAGCAAGCUCACGCUUGAAUACAUUAGCAUGGAAUAAUGAAAUAGGACGUUUGACCCUAUUUUGUUGGUUUCUAGGAUCGACGUAAUGAUUAAUAGGGAUAGUUGGGGGCAUUAGUAUUCAAUUGUCAGAGGUGAAAUUCUUGGAUUUUAUUGAAGACUAACUACUGCGAAAGCAUUUGCCAAGGAUGUUUUCAUUAAUCAAGAACGAAAGUUAGGGGAUCGAAGACGAUCAGAUACCGUCGUAGUCUUAACCAUAAACUAUAGCCGACUAGGGAUCGGAUGAUGUUAAUUUUAUAAUUGACUCAUUCGGCGCCU